This 449-nucleotide ribosomal RNA is filed under the name Ovophis monticola. RNAcentral describes it as "partial 12S ribosomal RNA". It matches the Rfam family "Microsporidia small subunit ribosomal RNA", at positions 752 to 1289 of the family's 1311-position model. The record is from RNAcentral. Lineage: Eukaryota; Metazoa; Chordata; Lepidosauria; Squamata; Viperidae.
ACCAAUUGUUCGCCAAACAACUACGAGUCCUACUUAAAACUUAAAAGACUUGACGGUACUUCAUCACGGCCUAGAGGAGCCUGUCAAAUAACCGACAAUCCACGAUUAACCCAACCCCUUCUCGCCUUACAGUCUAUAUACCGCCGUCGCCAGCUUACCUUGUAAAAGAAAUAGAGUGAGCUAAAUAGCACCACACUAAAACGACAGGUCGAGGUGUAACCUAUGAAGAGGACUAAGAUGGGCUACAUUCUCCAACCAAGAAUACGAAUAACACUAUGAAAUUGAUGUUUGAAGGCGGAUUUAGCAGUAAGAUAAGAAUAAAAUACCUAACUGAACAUGACGCAAUGAAGUGCGUACACACCGCCCGUCACCCCUGUCACCACAAUAUUAGACUUAAUAAACCAACCAAAUAAAUCAAGCAGGGCAAGUCGUAACAAGGUAAGUGUACA